RNAcentral lists this ribosomal RNA (253 nucleotides) under uncultured bacterium. RNAcentral describes it as "partial 16S ribosomal RNA". It matches the Rfam family "Bacterial small subunit ribosomal RNA", at positions 524 to 776 of the family's 1533-position model. The record is from RNAcentral.
UACGUAGGUGGCAAGCGUUGUCCGGAUUUAUUGGGUUUAAAGGGUGCGUAGGCGGCCUAUUAAGUCAGGGGUGAAAGACUGCAGCUCAACUGUAGCAGUGCCUUUGAUACUGAUGGGCUUGAGUACAGAUGAGGCCGGCGGAAUGGGUGGUGUAGCGGUGAAAUGCAUAGAUACCAUCCAGAACACCGAUUGCGAAGGCAGCCGGCUAAACUGUAACUGACGCUGAGGCACGAAAGCGUGGGGAUCGAACAGG